RNAcentral lists this ribosomal RNA (196 nucleotides) under Clostridioides difficile. RNAcentral describes it as "partial 16S ribosomal RNA". It matches the Rfam family "Bacterial small subunit ribosomal RNA", at positions 824 to 1019 of the family's 1533-position model. The record is from RNAcentral. Lineage: Bacteria; Bacillati; Bacillota; Clostridia; Peptostreptococcales; Peptostreptococcaceae.
CGGGGGUUACCCCCCUCGGUGCCGCAGCUAACGCAUUAAGGACUCCGCCUGGGAAGUACGCUCGAAAGAGUGAAACUCAAAGGAAUUGACGGGGACCCGCACAAGUAGCGGAGCAUGUGGUUUAAUUCGAAGCAACGCGAAGAACCUUACCUAAGCUUGACAUCCCAAUGACAUCUCCUUAAUCGGAGAGUUCCCU